This 492-nucleotide ribosomal RNA is filed under the name uncultured bacterium. RNAcentral's name for it is "partial 16S ribosomal RNA". It matches the Rfam family "Bacterial small subunit ribosomal RNA", at positions 29 to 507 of the family's 1533-position model. The record is from RNAcentral.
AGUGGACGCUGGCGGUAGGCUUAACACAUGCAAGUCGAACGGCAGCACAGUAAGAGCUUGCUCUUACGGGUGGCGAGUGGCGGACGGGUGAGGAAUACAUCGGAAUCUACUUUUUCGUGGGGGAUAACGUAGGGAAACUUACGCUAAUACCGCAUACGACCUACGGGUGAAAGCAGGGGAUCUUCGGACCUUGCGCGAGUGAAUGAGCCGAUGUCGGAUUAGCUAGUUGGCGGGGUAAAGGCCCACCAAGGCGACGAUCCGUAGCUGGUCUGAGAGGAUGAUCAGCCACACUGGAACUGAGACACGGUCCAGACUCCUACGGGAGGCAGCAGUGGGGAAUAUUGGACAAUGGGCGCAAGCCUGAUCCAGCCAUACCGCGUGGGUGAAGAAGGCCUUCGGGUUGUAAAGCCCUUUUGUUGGGAAAGAAAAGCAGCAGGUUAAUACCCCGCUGUUCUGACGGUACCCAAAGAAUAAGCACCGGCUAACUUCGUG